This 468-nucleotide ribosomal RNA is filed under the name uncultured bacterium. RNAcentral describes it as "partial 16S ribosomal RNA". It matches the Rfam family "Bacterial small subunit ribosomal RNA", at positions 28 to 507 of the family's 1533-position model. The record is from RNAcentral.
GACGAACGCUGGCGGCGUGCUUAACACAUGCAAGUCGAACGGAAAGGCCCUGCUUUUGUGGGGUGCUCGAUUGGCGAACGGGUGAGUAACACGUGUGUAACCUGCCCUUGUCUUUGGGAUAACUUCAGGAAACUGGGGCUAAUACCGGAUAGGAGCUCCUGCUGCAUGGUGGGGGUUGGAAAGUUUCGGCGGUUGGGGCUGGACUCGCGGCUUAUCAGCUUGUUUGUGGGGUAGUGGCUUACCAAGGCUUCGACGGGUAGCCGGCCUGAGAGGGUGACCGGCCACAUUGGGACUGAGAUACGGCCCAGACUCCUACGGGAGGCAGCAGUGGGGAAUAUUGCACAAUGGGCGGAAGCCUGAUGCAGCAACGCCGCGUGCGGGAUGACGGCCUUCGGGUUGUAAACCGCUUUCGCCUGUGACGAAGCGUGAGUGACGGUAAUGGGUAAAGAAGCACCGGCUAACUACGUG